Molecule: small nucleolar RNA, 71 nt
Organism: Lontra canadensis (Northern American river otter)
Lineage: Eukaryota; Metazoa; Chordata; Mammalia; Carnivora; Mustelidae
Source: RefSeq, a predicted model, not a curated record
CGGCCGUGAUGUGAGCGUUUCAGCUGCAGUCGCCGUGGAGAGCGAAACCGAGCUUUUUAACGCUGAGCCGC